AAGCUUGGCUCUGACUUAAUAAUAUAGCAGGAACUCAGAAAUACACAUGGUUUUUAUAGAAAGAGGCGAGGUAAAAGGUAGUAUAUUUAUAGCAAAAAGUUGUAAAAUGAUAUCUUUUUAGGUAUUAUAAAAUUUCACGAUGCCUUGAAAAGUCCCGCUAACACCAGUGCUGAAGGUUAAAAAAAGGACGAAAGUUUGUCUUAACUUAGUUCAUAAGAUUUGGUUAAUUUGGUGCCAGCAUCCGCGGUUAUACCAAGAAAUCAAGUUAUGUUGUUUGGUAAAAAGACGGUUAGACAUUAAUUUUUUAGUCUACUAAUUAUUUGUAUAAGGGUAGAAUUUGAAUACGAAUAUAUAAACUAUACAUGACCUAUAAAGUUGAAUCCGUGAAAGCCUUGAGGGAAACUGGGAUUAGAUACCCCAUUAUUCUUGGCUAUAAAAUAAAAAAAUUUACCAGAGUACUACGAACCUAAUAAAAUUUAAAACUCAAAGGGCUUGGCGGUGUUUUAGACCUCUCAGGGGAACCUGUCUCAUAAUCGACAAUCCACGAUAGACCUAACCCUGUUUUGCACUCAGUUUGUAUACCGUUGUCGUCAGGUAACUUUCAAAAAAUAAGAAGUUAGCGGUUAAAAUUAAUUAUAAAUUAAGACGUCAAAUCAAGGUGCAGCUUACAACAGGGGGAGGAUGGGUUACAAUUAUAAAUUCAUAAGAACGGAAAACACAUUGAAUAAUGUAUUUAAAGGAGGACUUGAAAGUAAAAUAAAAUACAUAAACAAUUUGAAUAAGGCUCUGAAACGUGCACACAUCGCCCGUCACUCUCGUUGAAAAAUGAGAUAAGUCGUAACAUAGCAGGGGUAAUGGAAAUUGUCCCUAGAU
Molecule: non-coding RNA, 873 nt
Filed under: Babylonia lutosa
Lineage: Eukaryota; Metazoa; Mollusca; Gastropoda; Neogastropoda; Buccinidae
Description: small subunit ribosomal RNA
Rfam family: Microsporidia small subunit ribosomal RNA
Source: RNAcentral